This 469-nucleotide ribosomal RNA is filed under the name uncultured bacterium. RNAcentral's name for it is "partial 16S ribosomal RNA". It matches the Rfam family "Bacterial small subunit ribosomal RNA", at positions 28 to 507 of the family's 1533-position model. The record is from RNAcentral.
GACGAACGCUGGCGGCGUGCUUAACACAUGCAAGUCGAACGGAAAGGCCCUGCUUGCAGGGUGCUCGAGUGGCGAACGGGUGAGUAACACGUGGGUGAUCUGCCCCUUACUUUGGGAUAAGCCUGGGAAACUGGGUCUAAUACUGGAUAGGACCAUGCUGUAGGUGGUGUGGUGGAAAGAUUAGUUUCGGUAAGGGAUGAGCUCGCGGCCUAUCAGCUUGUUGGUGGGGUAAUGGCCUACCAAGGCGUCGACGGGUAGCCGGCCUGAGAGGGUGGACGGCAACAUUGGGACUGAGAUACGGCCCAGACUCCUACGGGAGGCAGCAGUGGGGAAUAUUGCGCAAUGGGCGCAAGCCUGAUGCAGCGACGCCGCGUGGGGGAUGACGGCCGUCGGGUUGUAAACUCCUUGCAGCCAUGACGAAGCCCUUGUGGUGACGGUAGUGGGAGAAGAAGCACCGGCUAACUACGUG